CUAUGAUCGACAACAAAAAGGUUGAGCAAUUCCUUUUAAAAUUUCUAUUUUCCCUUUAAAACUUUUAUUUUUCCAUUUAAUAUUACCAUCAAUUUGUGAAAAAUUAGCAAAAUAAGAAGAUCGGAUUUUGAAUCCUUCAAAAAAAGUUCCCUCCCCAAUUUUGAUUUCCCCCCAAGAAAUUAAUUCUCACUCCCAUUAACCUAAAUUUUAGGUCCCCAAUUCAUCCAUCUCAACUUGAGUAGUAAGUACGUGUCCCCCAAUUCUCUCUCUCUCAUUGGAGCUUCACACCGGCUGCGAUCCACAACUUUCGGUGGUGUUUUUCCGACCAUAAUCCACAGCCAUGACUCCUGAGUAUGACUACCUAUUCAAGCUUUUGCUCAUUGGAGAUUCGGGUGUCGGAGAGUCUUGUCUGCUUUUGCGGUUUGCUGUAAGUGCCGUGGAUCCUAUAUAAAUUACGCUCUUCAAAACUAGAUAUUACUAUUUUAAGAUAUCAUUCUUAUUCGUAUGAGUUUAACUACGCUUUCCGUUUAAAGUUCAUGCUAAUUUAUGAGAUGAAGUGUAACACCUAAAUGGAGCACCUUUAGAAUAUUUUGAUGAUAGGGCAAGAUGGCAGUAGUAUUAAUUACGGAAGUGAAAAGGAGGUCCAUUAUCUGUUUCAAUUUUCUAUUAUCAUUGCUUCAAAAUAUAUGUAUGUUGAUGCAACAUGAUGUACGAACGUUCAGCGAACAGUUCACGAACUGUUUGGUGGGAAGUUCGUUUGUGUUCGUUCGUUUACUAAACGGACGAACGCGGACAAUAAAUUUUGUUUGUUUAGUUAAAUGAACAAACAUGAACAUAGGUCGCGUUUGUUCAUUUAUGUUCGCGAACGUUCGGUAACGUGUCCGUUUAUGUUCGAUAGUUCAUUAAUGUUUUUAGUUUUUAUUAUAUAUUUAAAUUCUUCAAAAUUCCGACAAAUAAAAUAUUUGAUAAGUAUUGUGUAUUAGUGUAUCAUAUAACUUUCGGUGGUGUUUUUCCGACCAUAAUCCACAGCCAUGACUCCUGAGUAGUAAGUACUUCUUAUUGCACAACACUUUCACCUAUAUUAACCGUUGAACAAGCAGUCGAGAAGUCGAGCUUUUUGAAGUCCCAUCAUUCUUAACCCCAUCACUAGUUGGUGACUUCUCAAAGGGAAUGGCUGAAUCUGAUCACCAAAUUCACUCUGCUGAGAUCAAACUUCCAUGACAAUACUAUUUCUAUAUGGAAUCACAAACAGCAUUAGUUGUCCCGGAUGAAGACAACUGCAUGGUGGUUUAUAGUUCCAGUCAGGUCCCUGAAUCGGUACAAAGUAUCAUUUCCCGGUGUCUUAAUAUUCCCGAACACAAUGUUCGUGUGAUUACACGACGAGUUGGUGGCGGUUUUGGUGGAAAGGCUAUUAAAGCUAUGCCCAUGAGUAUCAAUUAUUAUACAUUUAUACUACCAGUUUUUCGUUAUAAUAAUUUUGCGUUUUGUUACGAAUAUUGAUAAUAUAGGUUGCGGCAGCAUGCGCACUUGCAGCUUACAAACUACGCCGUCCUGUAAGAACAUAUGUAAAUCGAAAAACCGACAUGAUAUUGGCAGGAGCAGGAAGAAGACAUCCAAUGAAGAUAAAUUACACGAUUGGAUUCAAAUCUAAGGGGAAAAUCACAGCCCUACAUCUAGAUGUUUUAAUCAAUGCUGGGAUGUCAAUAGAUGUUAGCCUUAUAAUACCAUGGAAUUUCGUUGGUUCACUCAAGAAAUACAAUUUUGGUGCCUUGUCAUUUGACAUUAUACUAUGUAAAACCAACAAUUCUUGUAAAUCCGCAAUGCGGGCCCCAGGAGAAGUGCAAGGAUCAUAUAUAGCUGAAGCGAUUAUAGAACACGUGCGACUCACCUUUCGUUAGAUGUAGGGUUGGUUAGGGAGAUGAACUUUCAUAAUUAUGAUAGCUUGAAGUUAUUCUAUGGUAAAGAGAUUGAAGAAGAUCAUGAAAAAAAAAGGUUGAGCUGGAAGCUAUGCAAAAAGACAUUGACAGACAACGACAAAACUUGGAAGCUAUGAUGCAGAAAGUUAUGAAACGACUGUCUGUUGGAGAUCGAGAUGAGUAGAAUGUUUCUGUUUCUUUUUAGUAUUGUAUUGAAACUUUGUGUUGAACACAUUGUUAUUUAUGUUUGAACAAGUAUGUUAAAGUA
Helianthus annuus (common sunflower) is the source of this 2184-nucleotide RNA transcript. It is a transcript of the gene named probable aldehyde oxidase 3, with no coding region annotated. The record is from RefSeq and is a predicted model, not a curated record. Lineage: Eukaryota; Viridiplantae; Streptophyta; Magnoliopsida; Asterales; Asteraceae. The transcript has 3 exons.